Gongylonema pulchrum is the source of this 71-nucleotide non-coding RNA. NCBI's taxonomy places the organism in Eukaryota, Metazoa, Nematoda, Chromadorea, Rhabditida, Gongylonematidae. The record is from Rfam.
GGAUCGGUGGUGUAGUGGUAAUACAUUGCGUCUGGACGUGAAGGGAAGUGGUUCGAUUCCCUUCCGGUGCA